RNAcentral lists this ribosomal RNA (327 nucleotides) under uncultured eukaryote. RNAcentral's name for it is "partial 18S ribosomal RNA". It matches the Rfam family "Eukaryotic small subunit ribosomal RNA", at positions 1470 to 1796 of the family's 1831-position model. The record is from RNAcentral.
CCCUUAGAUGUUCUGGGCUGCACGCGCGCUACACUGAAGCGUUCAACGAGUAUUUCACCUUGCCCGGGAGGGUUGGGUAAUCUUUUUAAAACGCUUCGUGAUGGGGAUAGAUUAUUGCAAUUAUUAAUCUUCAACGAGGAAUUCCUAGUAAGCGCGAGUCAUCAGCUCGUGCUGAUUACGUCCCUGCCCUUUGUACACACCGCCCGUCGCUCCCACCGAUUGAGUGAUCCGGUGAAUAAUUCGGACUGCAGCAGUGCUUGGUCCUCCGGGCUUUGCAGCGGAAAGUUUAGUGAACCUUAUCACUUAGAGGAAGGAGAAGUCGUAACA